This 595-nucleotide long non-coding RNA is filed under the name Manihot esculenta (cassava). Its description in RNAcentral is "long non-coding RNA (MESC_LNC009965)". The record is from RNAcentral. Lineage: Eukaryota; Viridiplantae; Streptophyta; Magnoliopsida; Malpighiales; Euphorbiaceae.
CCAACAAGUGGUUGAGUUGCAUCAACAUGGCCCUCUCAGAUUUUUACGCCGCCAACUCUAACUAUCAGACAAGAUUGGUCCUCCACACCAGGGACUCCAUGAGGGAUGUUGUUGGUGCAGCUGCUGCAGGUGCGUUUUCAUCUCUCUCUACUCUUUAUUUGUCAAGGAAUUAGCAUAUUCAUUGUGAAGAAAUGUUCAAUGGGUUCAAAUUAGACUUGAUUAAAUAUGAACCUUGUUGGAGCUAAACAAAUCAAAUAUAAACUGACAUUAAAGAAGUAGAAAGGAAGACAACAUAGACAUGAAAGAAAAUAGACUCACAGCAGUUGCAGGAAGAAACCCCUUUUCUCUUGUAUUUUAAAGCACACUUACAUAUCAUAGAACAUCUUUUGCUUUACAUAUAUAUAUUUACAGAGAUACAAGAGUUUCAGAAAAUUCUAGAUUACACUUGUCAACAAAAGUGUGGCUUGAUAAGACACCACUAAUAUUCUCUAGAAUUAACUAUAGCUAUAUUUAAAUUAUUCUGAAAACUCUCAAUUCUAACAAACCUGCGUUUAAUUAUUCAGACAAGGACGUGCACAGCACAUGAAAGUGGGAG